GAUGAACGCUGGCGGCGUGCUUAACACAUGCAAGUCGAACGGAAAGGCUCCUGCUUGCCGGGGUACUCGAGUGGCGAACGGGUGAGUAACACGUGGGUGAUCUGCCCUGCACUUCGGGAUAAGCUUGGGAAACUGGGUCUAAUACCGGAUAGGACCGCAUUUUGGAUGGUGUGGUGGAAAGUUUUUUCGGUGUGGGAUGAGCUCGCGGCCUAUCAGCUUGUUGGUGGGGUAAUGGCCUACCAAGGCGUCGACGGGUAGCCGGCCUGAGAGGGUGUACGGCCACAUUGGGACUGAGAUACGGCCCAGACCCCUACGGGAGGCAGCAGUGGGGAAUAUUGCACAAUGGGCGCAAGCCUGAUGCAGCGACGCCGCGUGGGGGAUGACGGCCUUCGGGUUGUAAACUCCUUUCGCUAGGGACGAAGAGUAAUUGACGGUACCUGGAGAAGAAGCACCGGCUAACUACGUG
RNAcentral lists this ribosomal RNA (466 nucleotides) under uncultured bacterium. RNAcentral's name for it is "partial 16S ribosomal RNA". It matches the Rfam family "Bacterial small subunit ribosomal RNA", at positions 28 to 507 of the family's 1533-position model. The record is from RNAcentral.